This 464-nucleotide ribosomal RNA is filed under the name uncultured bacterium. Its description in RNAcentral is "partial 16S ribosomal RNA". It matches the Rfam family "Bacterial small subunit ribosomal RNA", at positions 28 to 507 of the family's 1533-position model. The record is from RNAcentral.
GACGAACGCUGGCGGCGUGCUUAACACAUGCAAGUCGAACGGUAAGGCCCCUUCGGGGGUACACGAGUGGCGAACGGGUGAGUAACACGUGAGCAACCUGCCCUUGACUUUGGGAUACCUGCUGGAAACAGCUGCUAAUACCGGAUAUGACCUCUUCUCUCAUGGGUUGAGGUGGAAAGCUCCGGCGGUCAGGGAUGGGCUCGCGGCCUAUCAGCUUGUUGGUGAGGUAAUGGCUCACCAAGGCUUCGACGGGUAGCCGGCCUGAGAGGGCGACCGGCCACACUGGGACUGAGAUACGGCCCAGACUCCUACGGGAGGCAGCAGUGGGGAAUAUUGCACAAUGGGCGCAAGCCUGAUGCAGCAACGCCGCGUGCGGGAUGACGGCCUUCGGGUUGUAAACCGCUUUCAGUAGGGACGAAGCUAACGUGACGGUACCUACAGAAGAAGGACCGGCUAACUACGUG